UUAUGCCCAAAUUGAAAACAAAAAUAAGAGAUUCAAUUAAGUUUGGUAGUUGCAAUCAAAGUAUGAAAACCACAACUUAUGAAUUUAUAGCUUGGGGCAAAAGUCUAAAAGUAGAUACAAUUUUAUGGACCUGAUUGCAAAUUGUCAAAAGGUUGAAACUGGAAGCGACUCAUUGAUUGGAAGAUAACGUGAUCAUAAUGUGCAUCUGUUACAUGGGGUUUAAGAUGUCAGAGUAUAUAAUCGUUUCUCUAAUCGAAAAACCCUCCAAAAAACCUUGAAAGAAUUAUGAGAAAUCGAUAAAGAACAAUGGCUAUGGGGGCAGGUCUGAGUUAGCGAAGAUCACGUUGGAAUUCACUGUGUUUUGAGGUAGAUCGACAAAAGGACUCACGUCGCAUGCCUUCUUAUUCUCUCUGCCGGUUAUCAUUGUUAUCGAUCUAAGGAGGCUGAACAUGGAGGAUUUUCAACCAAAGAACGCUAGGGUUUAUCAAUCAUCGAUUUUCAGUUUGCAGCUGCAAUUAGGGUUUAUCAAUCAUCGAUUUUCACCAUCAUCAUCAUCGAUCUCCAUCUUUAGCCUCCUAUUACCAUUGCCAACCGCCUUAUCAUCAUAUUCAAACGUAAUUGAUGUUGGUGAUCUUUUUUAUUAGCGAUUCAAUGUAUAAGAAAACCUAACUGGGGAUGAAUACAAUCAUACACGCAUAAUUAGAGGUGGCAAAAAUUGACCCGACACGAAAUAAACGAGUUUGGGUACGAUAUUUCAACCCGUUUAAAUAAACGGGUUGACUCGACACGACACGAAAAUUAAAUGGGUAAGGUUAGGGUUGAGAAUUUCAACUCGAAUAUAACUCGAAAAUGACCCGUUUAUUUAUAUGCAAGUUUUUUGAAUUAUUUAAAUAAACUAGAAAGAUACAAAACCAAAAGCAUAAGUAAAAGAAAACCUUCGAAUUGAAUUGUUUUGUAAUGUUGAAAUAACUUAGUCGUCUAGAUCAAGAUUUCAUUUCAGUUUUUCCAUUCUCUCCCAGAUUACCCACUCUCUUUCACCACUCUCACAUCCUCAUGACCUUAUCAUCUGCCUCCCCAACUCCCACUCUUUUAAUUUUUUCAUCUAAACUUGCUAUGACUUCAUCUAUUCUGCCUCAAAACAAUUAGUUUUUCAUUUCCGCCUACCAAACUCCUACUCUUUCAACAUGCUCAAUCUUUUAACCUCACAUGACACGACAUAUUUCAAGGUAUAGCCCUAACCCGAAACCCGACACGAACUCGACACGAAAAUAAAUGGGUUGACACGACACGACACGUUAAUUAAAUGGGCCGGGUUAGGGUCAAUCACUUUCAACCCGUUUAGUGUUUCGACACGACACGAACCCGACCCAACACGACACGAUUGCCACCUCUACGCAUAAUAGGUAAUUAAUGAAUUUCAUUCAUAUUUUUUUUGCCCGUUACAUCUUUAUUAUUCAUCUUCCUACACCAGCAUCACCUUCAUCACCAUUUUCUGCCACUAUUCUAUUUUAUCUGGUAAACAUAUUCUUAAAACAUCAUACACUCAUCCUCUCUACUUCUAAUCAGAGAUAAUCAUAUUCUUAUAUCAUUUUUAGCGAAAUUUUGAUAUGUAAUUAGGUAAUGAUGUUCAAGGCAUCUUUAUUUUUAAUUUCAUUUGAUGUUGGUAUAUUUAGUACAAAGCGUGAUGGUUUGUGUUUAUCCUAAAGGUGUUUGACGAAAUGUCUAGUAGAAAAGAUGUAGGUGGAUUUCAUUUUUUGUCACAAUAUUUUUGGUUUAAAAAAGAUGUAAUGGCAUAGAAAUCUUGAUAUAAAUGGUUGGUUAAUAUUUUUUCUUAGGAAAUACAUUCAUUAUUCUUUUUUUA
Lactuca sativa (garden lettuce) is the source of this 1861-nucleotide long non-coding RNA. RefSeq lists it as uncharacterized. NCBI's taxonomy places the organism in Eukaryota, Viridiplantae, Streptophyta, Magnoliopsida, Asterales, Asteraceae. The record is from RefSeq and is a predicted model, not a curated record.